RNAcentral lists this long non-coding RNA (9215 nucleotides) under Triticum aestivum (bread wheat). RNAcentral describes it as "long non-coding RNA (TAES_LNC025392)". The stretch from base 6888 to 7022 matches the Rfam family "MIR1120/MIR1122 microRNA precursor family". Lineage: Eukaryota; Viridiplantae; Streptophyta; Magnoliopsida; Poales; Poaceae. The record is from RNAcentral.
UUUUUUUUAGUUUUCUGCCUGCGGGUAAAUCAUUAGUGUUUUGUCUUUGUGGAAUUUCUUCAGCAUGUGAGGCCUGGCGACAUUUAAUAAGGGAAGCAGAAUCAGGGCUAUAUUGUUUCUUAAUUGUAUUGUAAAAUAUACUCUGACUGUCUAUAUCUCAUUUUCUUGUGACUGAGGCAUUUCAUUUUUCUAUGAAGCAAAAUUUGCUUAUGGUGGGGGUUGCAAGCAGAUUAUUCUGGGAUGCAUCAGUUGGUACUUGGUAGCAUAGUUUAAAAAAUCAAACCGGGCAAGGUUGUCGGUUUAGGUUUUUACCGGUUUGACCACUGGUUCACCAAUUCGGUUGUCAGUUUUUUAAGCAACAAAAUAAUAUGUAUUCUAUUAAAAAAAUACACCAAUCAGUAGUGAAAAAAUGUUUAAUCGGAGGUGACCGCCUCGCGUCCCAGUCCUCCUGCUCGACUACUCCUGGUCUGGACUCUAGAUCGGAGAGAGGCAACUGGAGGGAGGCCUGGUCAAUUUUACAGGAGCGGAGGAAGAGUGGUGGCUCAGAACAGCAAGACACGAGAGUGGCAACACCAGCUGGUGAUCUGGUGCCGCAUGGAGUGGUGAGGAAGAGGAGGCGUCGGCGCACCAGUGUGUCCGACAAGGGUGGCACCGAAGGUGGGCGGCUACGCUGAUGGGGUUUGUUUGUGGACAAAAUCAAGAGAAAUGCUCCAAAUUCAGCCGAAACCCUACCAAAAGAGGGGUUUCCUUCCUUUUCCGAUACUAUAUGAACAAGGGAUGAUCCACAUGAGAGCAAGAAAACUUUUCACAUAAAAUCAGAAGAGGUAUCCAUAUAUGAAUCGGUUUAGAAUUCAAAGAUCAAGAAACCGUAGUGCUAAAGAUUAGAUGCGCAGAUUCAACUCUGUAGUCAGACAGUAUGCCUUCCCCUCCAGAUAAAGAUCGGAAAGCUUGCUGCAUAAUUCGUGUAACGGCGGGAUCAGCACUUGAGACGGUGGCUACUACUAAGAUUGGCUACCCGUACGACAAAUGCGGGACAGAAAUAGGAUGGCCAUUUCUGCAUCAUUACAAGACGGGACCUAUUACAUACUACCUGGUAAUACAGGGUACGUUAGUUGUAGGUGCACAAGAGCGGCAGCCAACAAGAAAAGGAAUGCCACGAAAAUGUACUUCCAGUUCAGGAGUGUUGGCUCAAUAGAACGCACGGUCUCAAGAGUGCAAGAUUCAUCAUCAAGCACAGCAGUAAUCCCAGCUUCCUUCUCUCCAAUAAGAGCGUCAGCCUUCACCUAACCAUACAAGAAAUAUGUCAGCUUUUGCCCUUCUUUUUUGGCAAGGGUACAGGUAUCACAGUUUGAGGCUCAACAUAUUGAUCAUACUGUAUUAGCCAAAUGUUCAAAGAGUAAAAAGGUCUAAAGACUAGGAGCCAGGGAUAGGAAGUUCAGGGUUUGAGUCAUUUCCUACAACAAAUGCCUUCUCAUGAUGCAAACAAUUGUCCAUAUCAUGAUAUCAACAGAAGUGGGAAAGCCAAGAAAUUUGCUGCUUCUACGAUUUUCACGACAAAAGCAAGACAUCCGAAGAAGAACUGACCUUUGUCUGCAUUGAUGAAGAAUCCAGAAGUACUUCCUCUAUUACACCAGUCGGCCUGAGUUCACCUUCAUUAGCAGUAACCUUUUUGCUUAACAAGGUGCCUUCAUUGACAUUCUCUUUGCAUUUUUGAGUCAACAUCCUGUUCUUCCUUGUUAGCGUGACAAUCUGUAAAGAACAGACAUCAGAGAGAGAGCUGGUUCAAAAUACACUAAUUAUCGUAGCUCAUAUACAUAAACAUCAGAGCAAGCCAAACUGUAAGUAGGUUAAUAUCGAGGAACAAUUCCCAAAGAAAAACAUUGAUAAAGUUAGGUCCAUUGUGAUGUCUGAUGCCAGGGAAGGCUACACAAAGGGAUGGGAAAGCCACACGAUAACUUGUAGAGUUACAAACUGUAAAAAGAAGAUACUACUCCCUCUGUUCACUUUUAUAAGGCGUUGUAGCAUUUCAGACAGUGUACAAAACAGCUCAAUUUUAGUUGUCUGAAACGACUUAUAAAAAUGAACGGAGGGAGUAUAUAAUAUACUUUAUGCCACGGACAUGCUUGCAUAAACAGAUGCCAACCAAAAUUGUAAGUAGGUUAUAACUCUAUAGUAGAGGGAAAACCGAUGAUUCCCUUAAAAAAUGAGCUCGAAUGGUUAUGGACAAUUUUUUAAAAACAUGUAAGAUACUCCCUCCCGUCCUUUUUAGUUCGCAUAUAAGAUUUAUCUAAAGUCAAGCCUCGUAAAGUUUGACCAACUUUAUAGAAAAAAAUACCAACAUUCACAAUGUGAAAUCAGUAUCAGUAGAUGCGGCAUGACUUAAGUUUUCAUAUUAUAUAACUUUAGCAUGGUAGAUGUUGAUAUUUUUUCAUACAAAUAUGGUCAAACUUUAUGAAGUUUGACUUCAGACAAUUCUUAUAUGCAGAGUAAAAAGGUUAUACUCCCUCCCGUCCUUUUUAGUUCGCAUAUAAGAUUUAUCUAAAGUCAAGCCUCGUAAAGUUUGACCAACUUUAUAGAAAAAAAUACCAACAUUCACAAUGUGAAAUCAGUAUCAGUAGAUGCGGCAUGACUUAAGUUUUCAUAUUAUAUAACUUUAGCAUGGUAGAUGUUGAUAUUUUUUCAUACAAAUAUGGUCAAACUUUAUGAAGUUUGACUUCAGACAAUUCUUAUAUGCAGAGUAAAAAGGUUAUACUCCCUCCGUCCCAAAAUAAGUGUCUCAACUCUAGUACAACUUUGUACUAAAGUUAGUACAAAGUUGAGACACUUAUUUUGGAACGGAGGGAGUAUCAAGUAAAUGAUAUCAACAUAGAGUUGGGACAUGCAAAUGCAUAAUGUUCGUCCUUGUAUAAAUCCCUUUAUUGGAUUUUAGUUAAUGAUUUUACCCUUCAAGAAGUGCUCAUCAUAUUAUGUUCUCUUUACCAAGUCAAAGCAUUGGACACAUUUGUAUCCUUGUAAUUGAACACGUGCUUCGUGGUCUCUUUACCAAGUCAAAGCAUUGGACACAUUUGUAUCCUUGUAAUCGAACACGUGCUUCGUGAUCAACCAUGUAGUUUUUCAGCUGCUUGAGAUGAACUACCACAAUAAUUACUGCUGUAUGCUGGCAAAGCAAUAUUUCAGUCCACGCAUGAUAUCUUGAUUCGACACCAAACUAGUGCUUAUUCUGUACAAUGCCAUACAGAAAGCACAUAUUUUUUGCGGACAUGUAUAUUCACAGCAUUCAAAGUACAUGCAUGCACAUUAAAAGAGAAUAGUAGAAGUAAACUUUCCAUAAUAACAACGUGCAUACCUGCAGAUGAAGGCGUUCUCUUUCCAAUGCAAGUUUCGCAACCAAGUCAGUGAUGGUCUUAGUUUUAAUACCAAUAUCUUUUGCAGUGGACAGCUUUAGUUGGUUAGCUUGGCGUAACGAGUUCUCUAGACCUCCAACUCGACCUCUCAGAAAUGAUAUCUCUUCACUAAGCUCGAACUUGGUAUCUGUCAACAAUGUACAUUUUGAUUCAGCAUUCUCAGCCCUGGUUUCAGCUUUCAAAUACUUAUCCUUCAGAUCUUCAAUCACAUGUUGCAUAUCAGAGAUUGAAGACUUUAACAUGCUCUGAUGUUCACUAAUAGCCUCAACUGAUGCCACUGUAUGCUCUAACUGAGCUUCUGUCUCCAUAAGAUCCAUUUCCAAUAAGCCUGCCUUAUCUGACCCCCGAGUCUUCAUAUGAUUUAGCUCCCCAUUAAGUUGUACAUUAGUGUGAGUGAGCUCUGCACACCUUGCUUCGGCCUUUUGUGUUCUACUUUCUGCUUUGGAAACAGCAUCUUUAAUAUCAUUGAUUAUAUUCCUAAAUCUGCUUAUCUCAGAUGGUGACAUAUUCUGCUCUUUUUCAUUUCCUUCUGUCGAUACUGUUACGAACUGCAAUUGGGAGCAAGAUUCCCUCAGCCACUCCUCCAGUUUCUGAACCUUAUGCUGUAAAGCGAAGAACUCAGGGGUCGACAGCCUUUGCCUCUGCAUGGAAUCCUGGCUGGCAUUCUCCUCACCGCCAUUUUGCAUCAUCUCCAGUGAGCCAUUCAAAGCAUUUAACUGCACCAAGCUUUGCUCUAGCUUUGCUUUAAGAUCACUUUCCCUACAACCUGAUGCACUUAGUUGGUACUGCAUGGUAUUAAUUCUGUUAACAAGUUCCUUUGACGUUACAAGAAACAACUCGGAAGCAUUUUCUGCUGCAAACAUUCUUUCAGAAAUCGCUUCAACCGAUUCCUCCAAGAAAUACGACCCGUGUUCAACAUGAUGCAGCUUCAUUUUCAGCUCUUCCACGAGAACCCCCAAAUCACUUAGCUUCUUUUCAAGAUCUAAUUCAUUUGCUAUCGACUGUUCUAACAUCUGAAGAACAUUCCUUUGGCCCUCAGCCUGGAUAGUUGUGUGAGAUGAAACGUGUCCAUUUUCAUAUGCACCACCUUCACUAUUUCCUGUAAAAAUGCAAUGGUCAGGAUAUGGGUAGAGUGAACACUCACACUAAUAUGGCCUAAAAUGCUUGAACAUACCAGCUUUACGGUGGGAAGGGUCUAGGGCUUUUUCAAAGUUUGCAAACUCUCUUCUAAUUGUGGCUAUCACCUCCUGCAUCUGCUUCAAGGAGUCCAUGGCAGCAUGUAGCUUACCCUUCAACCAGCCCUCUGACUCUUCCCCGUUAAGCUUCUUUUCGAUGUUUCCAAUAUCGAUUUGAAUAUAACUGAUUAACCUCUCCAACUCCCUGACUUCUGCAUCUAGAAUCCCGUACAAUAGGUCAAAUUCGAAAGCAUUCUCGAGCGACUCAGUCGAAAGUGACCCAGGGUCCAGCAUGAGAGGUUCAAUAUCAUUUGCUCGGUCAGCUACCUCCAUCACCAGCAUCUCUAAAUUCAGUAACUUCUCAGAGCCAAAUUGAAUUUCGAGGUCCACCCUAGACAUGACAUCGGCUGGGUUUCCAGCUCCAUUUGAUCCAUCUCCGUGCAGCAGAACAUUUUCAUGGAAACAAUAAUUGCCCUGAGUGCUCUGAAAGUCCAUGAUCCCUCUUCUCUAUGCCUCCUGCAAUAACAUAUGGGUUCAUCUCAUGUAAAGAAAAAAUAUAUAAAUAAGACUUUCAUUUCUUCAAAUAUUUGAGGGAACUAGGAUAGAAGCAAGGCAAGCAAAGCCGCAACUCCACCACGGCGCAUCAACUCCCCAAUGGACUGCCAAAAAUUCAUACUAUUUGGUAGGAGCGGUUAAAAGUACUCACACUAUGCUCUCUUUUUUUGCUGUAGACUAAAAUGAGCUGAUUAUAGGUUACGCGUUGUGCCUCGGGCCAGCUGGCUUGUUAGGUCCAUAACAUAACUGGUCCGGCUUGGCUCUUUAGCUUAUAGAAGAAAAAACUUGGUUCUGGAAACAAGUAGUAAGAUGGUAGUCCCUCCAUUCACAAAUACAAGAUGUUUUGGAUAUUUCAAUAUGGACUACAUACAGACUGAAAUGAGUGAGCAAACACACUAAAACGUGUACAUAACUCUAUAUACAUCUGAUUCAGAAAAAAGUUACAACAUCUUAUACUCUCUCACUUUUUAUUUACUCCGCAUAUUAGCUUUGACUGAAGUCAAAGUUUAUAAAAAGUUUUACCAAGUUUGUAGAACACAAUAUGAACAUUUACAGGAACAUAUUUAUAUGAUGUGCAAAUAUAUGCAAUGAUGAAUCCAAUGGUAUUAGUUUUGUGGUGUAUAUUUAAUAUAUUUUUGUAUAAACUUGUUAAAAGUAUAUAAAGUGACUUUAGACAAACCUAAUAUGCGGAGUAAAAAAAACGGAGGGAAUAUUUGUGAGUGGACGAAGUAUCAAGUAAAUAUGCCUUAAUUUUGAAGAAAUCUCGAUAAAAUUUGUCUGGACUCGAUCUUAUCAACCUACACACACCUGUAUAGAGUACACUGACACUCUGGUCCGAAUCGUGGGCAUACGUGCAUAUCCCUAGCUGACUCCUGGCUGGGUUUGGAUAUGCCUAUCUGAAUCACAAUCACGCGAGAAGCUCGGUGCGACAAGGAUCCCGCGGAGGCCAAAUGGCGCGCCGAAUGAUUUGGCAAGGACUGGGCACGGGCAGUGGGCAUACACACGGACACAUGGCGCGGCGGCCGUCGAGCGCGAGAGAGAGGUCGAGGGGUGAGGGGACGGGAGGGGAGGGGNNNNNNNNNNNNNNNNNNNNNNNNNNNNNNNNNNNNNNNNNNNNNNNNNNNNNNNNNNNNNNNNNNNNNNNNNNNNNNNNNNNNNNNNNNNNNNNNNNNNNNNNNNNNNNNNNNNNNNNNNNNNNNNNNNNNNNNNNNNNNNNNNNNNNNNNNNNNNNNNNNNNNNNNNNNNNNNNNNNNNNNNNNNNNNNNNNNNNNNNNNNNNNNNNNNNNNNNNNNNNNNNNNNNNNNNNNNNNNNNNNNNNNNNNNNNNNNNNNNNNNNNNNNNNNNNNNNNNNNNNNNNNNNNNNNNNNNNNNNNNNNNNNNNNNNNNNNNNNNNNNNNNNNNNNNNNNNNNNNNNNNNNNNNNNNNNNNNNNNNGGCGUCGCCGUCGCGAUCCCCGGAGGAAUGGAAUGGAAUGGAAUGGAACGGAGGAUUUGUUGCGAACGGAAUGGGAGGGGGAGGGGUUUACCGUUUUCGCUGAUUCGUCGGGUGCGGGUGCGGCCAUGUGGCGCCGUGGGAAGAGGAACGUUGGAGAGUGGGGCGUUGCACGAGGGGGUGAUGUGGCGCGGACGUGGCCCGCGUGGGUGGGACUGGAUGAACUUGAUCUAUUUGAUGACUUUUGGAUAAACUUGAUCUAUUUGAUGACUUUUGGAUAAACUUGAUCAAUUUGAUGACUUUUGGAUAAAGUAUAUGCAUGAUUAAUACUCCCUCCGUUCCAAAUUAGCUGACUCAGAUUUAUCUAGAUACGGAUAUAUCUAGACAUGUUUCAGUGUUAGAUACAUCCGUAUCUAGAUACAUCCAAAUCAACUAAUAUGGAAAGGAGGAAGUACGUAUGAAUUGUUGGAUGAAAUAUGGCUAUAUUUGUAGUUGAUUUGUUGCAUAGUAAGGUUCAUUUGAAUCAUUCAAAUGAUUGAUGAAAUCUCGUGCAGUUUGUCGAAAUGUGUGCCAUAAAGAAUGGACAAAUUAGUCGGAAAAACAAGGAGUUAAAUAUAGAGACUUCGCUAGGUAUUUUUAACUUCUCGUAUUUGAGGAGUUAAAAUUUAAUGUCAUUGCAAGAUUCAGCCAUCCCAAAAUAUGCAUAUCAAAUUUAUGUCUCCUGAUCGGCCAUGGCUUCAAGAACGAUGAUGGCAUCCUUCUUGUGUCCUUUAAACUAUCUCGGACAUGUUGUAGGGCAAUUCUUUCACUUCCAAUGCAUGCAAUCAAUUGCCAAGUAUACCUGAAAACUCACUUGCUUUGUUCAUCUUCAGAAGUUGUUGAAUGUCCUGAGCAUUGGGUUCUCUCAAAUACUCCGGCUCAAACACUUCAAUCACCACAUUUGCAAAUUUCUUCAUACAAAAGAUUAAAGUCCUCUCCCAUUGCCAAGUUAUCAUCAAAGAAAACUGUUUGAACACCCUAUGUCAUCAUGCAUAAUGCCGCUAUCACCUUUUGGAUAGUGGCACGUCCAAGAUCUCCAGAGCAAUUUCUCCUCUGCUCAAAUAACCGAUCAUGCUACUUCACGUAGUUGGUAAUGUGAAGGAAUAAAUUCAAAAACAUCCUAAACCGACAACAAAAGUAUCGCUCUGGAUACAUCAGAUUGGGAUUGAAAUAGUUGAGCACCAGUCUAUUGUGCCCAUCUUUCCUCAACCUACGAAUCGCCUCUCUGCCGACAACAGAACCACCAUGCCUCUCUUGUUCUUAUGCAUGUACAUCAUCGUAAUCAGAGCAAAGUCCUCGUCUUUGUCCAUCUCAUAUUCUUCUUUAGAGAGGAAUCAUCCCACGGGAAGGAUAUGAACGAACCCAUCUACAACACAAUACUUUCAAUUAACCUACUCCUAUAUUUCAAAAAAAAAAAAACGAGUAACACAUUUCUUUUACCUUUGAGGAUUUUUGUCGAACACCUAGUGCGUAGGGAGGAGAAAUCCGACCGGCUGCUCGUCAGGGCCAGUUGGUCGUCGCGCCGGCUACAAGUGGCCUCGGGGUGGUCUUCUCAGCAUCUCCACCCUCGCAGCGUCGUCUGAAAGCCAAAAGCUCCAAAGGAAAAGCGGUCUGGCUCGGUUCUGGUGGUGCCGCGGCGGUAAAGGUGGGGGAAGGGCUGCGAAUGGCUGGAAUCAAUGCAAUUCGAGGCGAACAUCAGAUCCUAAAUCGACGAGUCUGUUGCAGCCAUCUAGUGGGAUUUGAUGGUUAGGCCACGCAGCGGAGAUAUCGCCGGCGACGAUCACGGGGGAGAGGCGGCAAGAAACUUCCAGAUGGCAGUUGGGUUGCGCACGGCAGCCGGUUGGACUGCUGCAAAUAUGCAGCACUUGAGGGCAAAAAUAUGGAGCUGCACUAAAAAUUUGCAUUCAAUUCUAAGAUACAUCAAACUAUUUUUGGCCCGUACGCCCUAAAAAAACAGUUAUUUGGGCACUUGCCCUUUAUACAGCAUCUGUUAAAUAGAUAGAUACUCUAAUGAGAUGGACGCAUACCGUUAGUGCAUGCUCUGACCAGAGAAUGAUUCGCGCUUUUAUAAACAGGCCAUAAAAAUCAAAAAACAUUUGGACCUCGCAAGUCAUACCACAAUGCUAUACAAAUCAUCAACUGAGGGGCACACAGCAUUGCAGCAAGUUGCAACCUUCAAAACUGAGACUCGUGAAAGGGUUACACCAACAGUGGAUGCUGCCAAUAACAUCCAACAAAUAUACCAUUUCCCAUGCCGAAUUACAGCAGAUCCCACGGGAAUAACAACACACACAGACAACAUUGACAACAUUCGGGACCAGUACCAGUACACUCACCGGGAAAAAGAGAACUCUUCCACACACACAAAAAUUUCAAACCAAAAUAGACAGAUUCUCCACAAAGUUCAUGUUUCUAUAUAUGAUUUGAUUUGGCGACCUUCUCUUUCCCAUCACACCAUCAACCUACACAUGGACGAACCAGGAACCAGCUUCAUGGACACAUGACACCAAGAGACUCAUCAUCCUCUGACAAAAAAACUCUGGUAACCAAGCAUUCCUUAGAACGACACCAUUUGGCUCCUGAAAUUUGGUUUUGACAGAGAAUGAAGGUUA